Corythoichthys intestinalis (scribbled pipefish) is the source of this 8959-nucleotide RNA transcript. It is a transcript of the gene named RNA 3'-terminal phosphate cyclase-like protein, with no coding region annotated. The transcript is spliced from 10 exons. Lineage: Eukaryota; Metazoa; Chordata; Actinopteri; Syngnathiformes; Syngnathidae. The record is from RefSeq and is a predicted model, not a curated record.
GGUUAUAUAACGCUCCCUGCCGGCCGGAAGCUGAAUCUUAUACGGUAGCAUAGUUUUUCCCCUCCCGCGUUUCCGUAGGCUCCUGCCCUGCCCUCGUUCCGCGUCUUCCUGGAAAAACACACGUGGAUUUCAACAGACCACUACCAGCCUAGCCCAGAGUCCCAGACUAGAGUGAAGAAGCGACCGAAGCACAAUAACAACAUCAUGGCAAGCCAAGGACUUGCUUACGACGGUUGCAACUUCUUCAGGCAGCGCCUCGUUCUGUCCACAUUGAGCGGGAAAAGGCUUAAAAUCCGGAAUAUUAGGUCCAAAGACGACAACCCGGGGAUUCGAGAUUUUGAAGCCAGUUUCAUCAGACUGCUGGACAAAGUUACUAAUGGCUCCAGAAUAGAAAUCAAUCAAACAGGCACCGUGCUCUUCUACCAGCCCGGCUUACUAAACGGGGGAUCCGUAGAACAUGACUGUUGUCUACAGCGCUCCAUAGGCUACUACCUAGAGGCCCUGCUCAUGUUGGCUCCCUUCAUGAAGAACUCUCUAAAGGCCACUCUGCGCGGUGUCACCAAUGAUCCCGUGGACCCGACAGUGGAUCGGCUUAAGUCCACAGCUCUUCCUCUGAUGAAGAAAUUUGGCAUUGACGGAGAAGGCUUUGACCUAAAGGUGAUAAAGAGGGGAAUGGCUCCCGGUGGAGGAGGUGAGGUCCUUUUCACGUGUCCCGUCCGCAAGACCGUCAGGCCUGUGCAGCUCACAGACCCCGGAAAGAUAAAGAGAAUCCGAGGCGUUGCAUAUUCAGUGAGGGUUUCCCCUCAGAUGGGCAACAGGAUUGUAGAGUCAACUCGAGGUAUCCUGAACCACUUCAUUCCAGACAUCUACAUUCACACAGACCAUAUGAAGGGUGCCAACUCCGGAAAUUAUUGCAGGUCGCCGGGUUUUGGUCUGACGCUGGUGGCGGAGACCCUGGAAGGCUGUUUCCUAUGUGCCGAAAUGUCGUCGACGCCGCAGGGUCGAGGAGAGCCCGUUCUGCCCGAGGAACUCGGCCGCGACUGCGCUAAGCUGCUGCUGGAGGAAGUGUACCGGGGAGGCUGUGUGGAUUCGUCCAAUCAGAGCCUGGCACUGCUCCUGAUGACCCUUGGCCAACAGGAUGUUUCAAAACUUUUACUCGGACCCCUCUCGCCAUACACGAUGGAGUUCCUCAGACACAUUAGAGAUUUUUUCCAGAUGAUGUUCAAAAUGGAAGUUCGCAAGCCCAUAGAGGAUGAACGGAAAGGGGGGGAUAAAGUCCUCAUGACGUGUGUCGGAGUAGGUUACAGCAACUUGAACAAAACUCUGAAAUAAAAGUGCACAUACUGCAAAUGUCUUUAAUUUGACUGUCCUGAACAAAAAGACAGAGAUGAUCAAUGAAAUUCAUUUCAAUAAUUGCGCUUUGAAAAGCACGUGCGUUCCUUUUCCACGACUCCGCCUAUGGGAAAAGCCCCUUUUCAAAUUCCAGCAGUUUGUCUGUCGUUGCAGGAAUUUGGGAGUUAGUCUUGACCACAAAGAUGUUUCAGGGCGUCACCGUAGCUGCCUGAUACUUCAGACUGCCAAAGAAAGUUGAAAAUGAGUCAAGGAAAUGCGGCCGAAUGUGUUUUGUACGUGCAAUAUUUACCUCCAGCAUGGAGUAGAGUGAAUAUCCGAACAGCUUCUUGAACUCCGCCCUAAUGUCCAGCAAGUCCAUUUCGGAGCGACUUACCAGUAUCCGGGUCAGUGUGGACUCUGUGGUUCCUAAACCCUUAAAAGACAUUUUAGAAUGGAAGCCAAAGCAAAUAGGUUCUCUUUCAUCAGCCAUUGUUGCAUUUCAAUUUCAACCGACGUUGCACAUUCCCCCAACAAGCGAUAGGCUUCAAAUUCCUAUCUGAUGACAAUGUGAUCGUCUACUGUGGCUUAACCUAACCAAAUGUUUUGGGCUUUUGUGAAUUGGACGAAGCUCACCUUCAUGCUCUUGAAAAGCCUUUCUGCGAGGUACGCCGGGACGUUCUUAACACAUUUGACUGAAUGAGGGGAGGGGGGAAAAAAAUCCUUUUCAAGUUUCUUGUAAACUAAACUGGGAAAAUGAAACGUCCUACUUGUGUUCCAAAGGCUAAUAAAAUGCGUCGGUGCCAUACUCACCAACAGCCACCAGAAGCUCUUCCAGGUUUCCGGACAUUUCGCUCUCGAUGCUCUCCUGCAGGGUCCUCUUGCUUAUGCUCUUGUACUCCACCAGAGCUGUUCAAACAACAUGGAUGUUCUGUUCUUUUGCUGACAGUGUGCCAUGAGAGAUCUCCAGAUGCGCAGUGGUGCUAUUAUUACUACUGCAAGUAAUCUCUUUAAAGGGGAAUGAACUAAUCAAACAAUACAGGCUCAAAGGUUAAAGGAAAUUGUGAAAGUUAUGCUACAUUCUCCGUUUAACCUUCUAAACUAUUGUUGGCGCACUGGAAUUUGAUGCCCUAAUCUCAGUCAUCUUUUGCACGGUGGACCUACUGUAAGUAAUAGUUCUCGCGCAACUGCACCCUAAACUGGAAGUUACUUGUAAGUGCCAGAGAAAUUUUGUGUACUGUACUAAGUAUCCAGUAUCUAAAGGCUUUUCAUGCAUUUUAAAAAUGUGUCAUCAUUGAAAGUCAUCAUUUGACUUUUCAGUUAGUCACCUGCCAACGCCACCGUACGCUCUAUUGACUAGUUGUCGGAAAAAAUACCAUUUGAAGAAAAUUUUAACAUUGGCCAUUGUGUGUCCCUUACAAAAGACGACUUACUCUGUCUGAGCUGAGGAACACUCCUGUGGCACAGGAUGUCGAUGAACCUUCCCUCGUCAGUUCCCCAUUUCUUCUCUCCCGCUUCAUACAAAGCCUAAGGGAGCAAUGGGAACAUGGCCUGAGUUUUGGGGUUUAUACAUGCAGUUAACAAAUACUAGACCUUCUCAAAAAAUAAGCCUAUUGUAAAAAAGGUCAUUAUUUUCUGUAGCGUACCGACAGACAGAUUUUCAUAUAUUUUGCAUUCAUUACACACAACUGAAGUCGUUCAGGCCUCUUAUUGUUUUAAUAUUGAUGAGUUAGGGAUUUUUGCUUUUUCUUGACUUUUUUUGCCAAUCUCAAAAAAUGAGCAUAUUUGGUCCGACCAACACAAAAAAGUAUUUUCAAUACAAAACAAGUCAACCUUCAAUGAAUUAUAUCAGCAAUGCACUCAUUACUUGGUCGGGAAUCCUUAUGCCGCAAUGAGUGCUUCAAUGCGGCGUGGCGUGGAGGCGAUCGGCCCGUGGCACCGCUGAGGUGUUACGGAGGCCCAGGAUGCUUCGAUAGCUGCCUUAAGCUCAUCCACAGUGUUAGGUCUGGUGUGUCUCAACUUCCUCUUCACAGUAUCCCACAGCUUCUCUAUGGGGUUCAGGUCAGGAGAGUUGGCAGGCCAAUUCAGCACAGUAAAGCCAUGGUGAGUAAACCAUUCAUUUACCAGUGGUUUUGGCACUGAGCAGGUGCUGAAAAAGGAUAUCUUCAUCUCCAUAAAGCUUUUCAGCAGAUGGAAGCAUGAAGUGCUCCAGAAUCUCCAGAUAGCUAGCUGCAUUGAUAGUAGACCAACACCAGCAGCUGACAUGGCACCCCAGACCAUCACUGACUGUGGGUACUUGACACUGGACUUCAUUUCCUUCUCCCCAGUCUUCCUCCAAACUCUGGCACCUUGAUUUCCGAAUGACAUACAAAAUUUGCUUUCAUCUGAAAAAAGUACUUUGGACCACUGAGCAACAGUCCAGUGCUUCUGCUGCCGGCACCUGUAGUCCAUUUCCUGUGCACGGUGGCUCGGGAUGGUUCUACUCCAGACUCUGUCCACUGUUUCUGCAGGUCCCCCAAGGUCUGGAAUCGGCCCUUCUCCACAAUCUUUCUCAGGGUGCGGUCACCUCUUCUGGUUGUGCAGCGUUUCCUGCCACACUUUUUCCCUUCCCACUGAGGUGCCUUGAUACAGCACUCUGGGAGCAGCUUUUUCGCUCAGAAAUUUCUUUCUGUGUCUUAGCCUCUUGCUUGCGGGUGUCAACGAUGCCCUUCUGGACAGCAGCCAGGUCAGGUCGGCAGUCUUGAUUGCGGUUUUGAGUCAUGAACCAGGCUGGGAUUUUUUAAAAGCCUCUGGAAUCUUUCGCAGCCGUUGAUUCAGAUGAUUAGGUUAGUAGCUUCUUUAGAGUACCAUUUCAUGAUAUGUUAUUUUUUUGAGAUAGGGAUUUUUGGUUUUUCUUGACUUUUUUUUUUUUUGUGCCAAAAUCAUCAAUAUUAAAAUAAUAAAAGGCUUGAACUACUUCAAUGGUGUGUAAUGAAUCUAAAAUACAUGAAAGUCUAAUGUUUAUCAGUACAUUACAGAAAAUAAUGAACUUUAUCACAAUAUGCAAUUUUUUUUAGAAGGACCAGUAUAUAGCCUCAUGUGAGCUCAUGCUGCUAGUUCUGGCGGAAACCGCUUGUUAUGGGUGUCGAGUCCAGUACUUUGGCAUCCGCUUUGGCUUUGGCCGCGUCAACAUAGGGGCUCUCGUCUCUCUUCCCCUAUUAGGAUGAACAUAGUAUCAGCACUAUUCACCUAAAAUCUGACUUUAUAGUUGGAAUCGAUCAAUCUCGCCUCUGCCAAGAUGAGCAGCGCUUUGCCGUAAUCUCCAGAGACCUCCGAUUUGAGGUCGUGAAUCAGCAUUUUUCCCGUUUCUGCGACGCACAUUGCACCGUGAACCGCUGUCGGAGAAUUUCCAGGGGUCCGAAUGAGAAUCUCUUAGCUUAUCGGACGCUCACCUGUCAGAUAAACUUCCGACAUGGCUUUGAUCUGUCUGUUGGAUCUGGAGGCAAAGAGUUCCGUCAGGGUGCUCUCGGUGGUCCCUGCGCCCUAGUCAAAUGACACAUCCUCAAUGUACACUGUCAUUUCAGAUUUUAAAGGAGACAAUUGCUUGUUCACACAUAGCUUGGUUGCUGCCUGCCCACACAUCUUGUGGCAUCUAUGUUGAAAUGAUUGAGGAGCUUCAUUUAUACAAAUAAGAUGCCACAGGUAACUUUGUAAAAACAAUACAUUUUCCUUAUGUCUGAGGGUUCCAUCAACCCUUAAAAAAAAAAAAAAAAAAAAAAAAAAGCAAUUCACCUCACCUUGAUGGCUUUAAUGACUUCGUGGCAGUCGUAGACGGCAGGAGGUUUCACUAAGGCCACCAACAAAUCCUCAAAAUAUCCAUGAGUGUCACCCUCCAGGUCAGCGAUUAAUGUCUGAUUGGGGACAAAAUCGACUUGACCUCGCUCGCCAUCUUUGUCACCGUACUUCACACUCACCCUUCCCGUGGCUUUGUGGUAGGCCGUAGCGAUGAGCUGCCGCUGAGCGUUACUCCUUUGGGUCAGAACCUCAACGAGCGUCUUUUCUGUUGUGCCUGCAAGAGAGACGACAGAUCGGUCUCCCAAAGACGACAUAUUGGUGAGACGUCAUCGUACCGAUGCCCUCUAUUGCCUUCCUUAGAGCAGCCACAUCCUCUUCCACUUUAAAAUUGGCCUUGUCCUUCACAGUCCCCCUUGCGUUGGACUAAUUGGAAUAAACACACGACAUCGAACAUAAACAAGGUUUAGACUUGUCAGUUUGAUCUGGCCCAGCGAGCAAAGAGCAAGACUUGCACUUUUUCCUCCCUAAAAUUGCUCGUGUAAAAGGUAUACAUUCACGUUAGGGCUGAACGAUAUUGGAAAAAAGUUACAGAGCGACUUUUUGGGGGUUUGCGAUUAUACUGUAUAUUGCAUUAUUAAAACUAGAAGAAUUUUCACCAGAUGACUUGAAUAGCUUUGUUUGGGAAGACUUUGGUUGACUCACCAUGAUCACAUUGUAUUCAUAUAAUAUAAUACAGUUUACUCCAGGCUAAGGGGAUUCAUCUGUGAAUUAUGAAGAUUGAUGAAUAUAAAAGGGGUCCAGGAGUCCGUGUCUGCUUUUAUGAAGCAAAACAAAAGUUAACGUAGUCAAAAAAGAACAAGGCCAUCGCACGUUCUGCGAUAGGACCAUUGCGCAAGCACAUAUCGCGAUGGCUUGCCUGGUACACCAGACUCACCGCUGUUCCAGCUAUUGAGUCUGGCCACCAUUCAGCGGAUACAAUUUCCAGGGCGGAGCAAGCCACAGCAAACAGACAGCGGAGCGGACCAAUCAGCGACGGGCAGACGUGACGUUAGUAAAACGACGAGGGCAGGACGAGGGACUUGCGCGCGGAAGUAAACAUACGAGGAGAGCGGAGUUUAUUCAACAUGGCUAGCGCCAGACAGACUGUUGUCAAUGACUCGCGUCGAUGUGUUUUUGGUCAUUUAAAACUGAUUUGACCGUGGAUUGGAACAUAUUCUCGGCUCUCCCGUUCACCAUCUGUGUUGUCGUGGAGACGACUUCCGACGCGCAAGAGUGACGUUGCUCGUUAAGAACACGUCACGCAAAUAAACAAAUCUGAUUUGUCGAUUGAUUUUGUACCUGCUCGAGAGGCCGUUAAUGGGCUGGUUCCCAGACUUUUCUCUCAGUGUUUGAAAAAUACAGGGAGAACAGUCUGGCCGUGCCAGGCAAUGUGAUGGCAAUCUUCAAACGAUAUAUUGUGCAGGCCUAAUUCACGUCAUUGAAUAGUCAUUUAUUAUGAAGCAUAAAUGUAUCCAAUUGAACACCUUUACAUAUACUAUAUAGUUAUAUAUUUACAUAUAGCAUAACAGGUUUUAUGUUAAUAUCAUUUAUUUCAAAUCUACCUCAUCCAGAAAUGACCAGGCCAGUUUAUAUUUUAUUUCAUAGCACGAUCUAAAUCAAUUGAAUUGAGCUUACUGUCACAUUCAGUGAGGAUGGAGAGUCCAACAGCAAAUCCAAAUCGUCCUGCAGUGAUGAGAAAAGAAGAAAGCGUGAUUCCACUCAUUUUAUCCGACAGCCUGGCCCUUGUCCCAAGCUACUCACCCACACGGACAUGUUUACGCUGGUAUAUUUCAAGUUUUGCGCUACUGCGGAGGAGAACAGGAGACAGGAGAUCAACUUUUUCAACCGAAUCAACUUCCGUAAACUUUUCUCAUUCCAAUGGAAUAUUCCAUGUUAGCGCCAGCGUGGGUUUGUUAGUCCGUAGAGUAUGAACGGUGUAGCCUACCUGUUUUAAACUUGAGCAGUUAGAGAAAAGGCGCCAAUUUGUGUUAAAUGAACAACAGAAGACAGUUCUUGUCUCCCGCAAAUAGGAUGAGGGGCUCGAUACUAUCGAUGGUGAAAUUCCAGAAUGUCUCACACGCACUUUUCGCGGAUGUGGAAAAGGACCACGCCCAUCAUAGGGGAGUUGUUGAGUCAUCCUUUUUUUCCCCCCGAUGGCAACUGUUCAACAUUCUUUUAAAUCAACAUUAACGGUUUUCUAGUUGUAAAACCCUGUCCAAUUCUGUGGAAAAAGAGUCAAAUGUCCAAAAUAAAAGCGAGGAAAUUGCCUAAUCUCUGUUGCAUCAAUUCCAGUUGUUUUGAACGCUAAUGAGGUGACAUUUAUAGCUGGAAAUGAUAUGAUUUAAAUCAACGAUUUAUUGGAAAAUACAUUUCUGGAUUAUCCACGUGGAUUUCGGAAGAGUUUCGGUAUUCUUCGUCAGGAGCAUUGUAUCGGUUUUGUACCAACUUGCGACAUCUAGAGGUUAAAUGAGAAACAACAGUCGUGUCAUUUACCUUUUCAUCGAUUUUUUGAUUUUUUUUUUUACAUACAAAAAUGUUCUUUUAAUCAUAUUGCAACUAAGUAACAUUGAUCAUCCACACCUGUAUGUGUAUGAACUAUUAAAAACUAAUUGCUAGAUUUACAUAGACGGGUAUUUACAGUGAAAGGUUUUUUGGAGGGUAGGGCCAGGGGUGUCAUGGGUGCGAUGACGUCACUGACACGAAACGCGCUCCACACCAGUUACUGCUUUCGGUCACAUUGCAACACGUAAAAUAAUAACUUUUAAAGUUUCAUCAUGAUUCUUUAAAAAAUACAGCAGUAGAAAACAUUUGCGGUCGUACCUAUAAUGCAACUUAUUUUUGUGAUACCUUUCAACUUUUACUCUUGUUUAUCUUUGUCCAAAAAGGCCUGUUACUUUUUCCUAACCUCACCAUAUGUCCAAAGAUUUCAGGGGUUUGAAUUCAAUUCAAUUUGGGUUCUUAUUGGGCAGAACAAUUGAUGGGAUGUGAACCAGAAAGUGAUUCAGAGAAGCACGAUAUCCCCCAUUAAUGUUUUUUUUUUUUUUUUUUAAAGAAAAAUCGUUGGAUGUUGCUGUGUCUACUUUUUAAUGGAUUAGAAUUCGCCUAUUUUGCAUAAGGUUUAUUAAUUCAUGACAUUAGAAAAGCUUUUACAACAUAUAUAUUUUUAAUAACAUUAAUGUUUGAGCAUGGCCAACUCUCCCCCCCCACCCCCCACCUUAACCCUUUCAUGCACAAAUAAUAUCUUCCUUAAGUGUCUUUAGGACCCUGUAGGGAAUCGGGAUGAUCAGAAAUCCUCAUCUGGCGACUUUUGUGAUCUGUGUCCCCGAAAGCGGCCAGGAUAAGGAAGCACCAAAAUACAUCAGGUGCCUCAGACCCACAAGAAACGUAAGGAAGGCCACGGAUAAGCAGAACUACUGAUAAGCGUGGCUUCCUCCGACACGCCACUAGGGAAUGUGACCUAGGAGCACCAACGUUGCCCUUAUACACCACGCAUUCCCAGGAGUAGUGUUCCCUAUUGAACCAGCCAGUGCUCCUCUGGGAUGGGUUAAAAGACGAAAGAGAAUUCCUGGACCGGUGAAGGAGGUUCGCACGCACGGGCAGACGCACACGUGAAAAAUAUCAACCUGGCGGGCCCAAAACAUACUCGGAUGUACCAUGUCACUUUAACAGGGGCCAAAAGAGCGGUUCCCUGGCAAGCAUAUACGAUGAAAGGAAUCGUCUUCGCCUCCGAGCCUGGGAACAGAGGAACCAAGAAACCAGCCAAGCCAAAGAACUCUGGGCUGAGAACGUGCCGCUUUUUGGGCACCCGUACAAAGUA